RNAcentral lists this long non-coding RNA (414 nucleotides) under Zostera marina. RNAcentral's name for it is "long non-coding RNA (ZMAR_LNC005777)". The record is from RNAcentral. Lineage: Eukaryota; Viridiplantae; Streptophyta; Magnoliopsida; Alismatales; Zosteraceae.
AUGGAUCUAAAUUACAAAAUACACACACGUAAAAAAAUGUAAAAUAUUUUAAAAAGAUAUUACAAAAACAUGAUAUGUUCAAUCAAUCAAUCCGCAAUUCAUUCUUUCGAAUUUCGAUUGAGGUUUGAAAUUAUAAAAUAAUAUUAUUAUUUUCACCAAACGAGCCAAAAAACUAAAAAGGACUGACACCGAUGCCGACGGCAAACGGCCAUCGACGGCUGAGAGAAGGACGGAGUAGUUGCUGUCUCUCUCCGUCAAUAAAGGCCACAUGCCGCAGAGAGUUCCUUUCGGCCGACGGCUAAGUCUGCCAUUUCGCACUUUUUGCAGAGGCUAAAGAGGGGAAAGAAAAGGAAAAGAAGAAGACCUUAAACCGGACAUGUCUGAAAUCUGUUACGUGAAGAGGGUAAAAUCGUC